This 155-nucleotide ribosomal RNA is filed under the name uncultured bacterium. Its description in RNAcentral is "partial 16S ribosomal RNA". It matches the Rfam family "Bacterial small subunit ribosomal RNA", at positions 355 to 507 of the family's 1533-position model. The record is from RNAcentral.
UGAGGAAUACUGGUCAAUGGGCGAGAGCCUGAACCAGCCAAGUAGCGUGAAGGAUGACUGCCCUACGGGUUGUAAACUUCUUUUGUUUGGGAAUAAAAGACGCUACGUGUAGCGUUCUGCAUGUACCUUACGAAUAAGCAUCGGCUAAUUCCGUG